RNAcentral lists this transfer RNA (85 nucleotides) under Acinetobacter baumannii. RNAcentral describes it as "tRNA-Leu". Lineage: Bacteria; Pseudomonadati; Pseudomonadota; Gammaproteobacteria; Moraxellales; Moraxellaceae. The record is from RNAcentral.
GGGGGCGUGGCGAAAUUGGUAGACGCACUGGAUUUAGGUUCCAGCGCCGCAAGGUGUAAGAGUUUGAGUGUCUUCGCCCCCACCA